RNAcentral lists this ribosomal RNA (484 nucleotides) under uncultured bacterium. Its description in RNAcentral is "partial 16S ribosomal RNA". It matches the Rfam family "Bacterial small subunit ribosomal RNA", at positions 28 to 507 of the family's 1533-position model. The record is from RNAcentral.
AUUGAACGCUGGCGGCAUGCUUUACACAUGCAAGUCGAACGGCAGCGCGGGCUUCGGCCUGGCGGCGAGUGGCGAACGGGUGAGUAAUGCAUCGGAACGUGCCCAGUAGUGGGGGAUAGCCCGGCGAAAGCCGGAUUAAUACCGCAUACGACCUGAGGGUGAAAGCGGGGGACCGAAAGGCCUCGCGCUAUUGGAGCGGCCGAUGUCGGAUUAGCUAGUUGGUGGGGUAAAGGCUUACCAAGGCGACGAUCCGUAGCUGGUCUGAGAGGACGACCAGCCACACUGGGACUGAGACACGGCCCAGACUCCUACGGGAGGCAGCAGUGGGGAAUUUUGGACAAUGGGGGCAACCCUGAUCCAGCCAUGCCGCGUGCGGGAAGAAGGCCUUCGGGUUGUAAACCGCUUUUGUUCGGGAAGAAAUCCUCUGGGCUAAUCCCCCGGGGGGAUGACGGUACCGGAAGAAUAAGCACGGGCUAACUACGUG